RNAcentral lists this ribosomal RNA (490 nucleotides) under uncultured bacterium. Its description in RNAcentral is "partial 16S ribosomal RNA". It matches the Rfam family "Bacterial small subunit ribosomal RNA", at positions 30 to 507 of the family's 1533-position model. The record is from RNAcentral.
AUUGAACGCUGGCGGCAGGCCUAACACAUGCAAGUCGAACGGUAACAGGAAGAAUCUUUCUUCUUUUCUGACGAGUGGCGGACGGGUGAGUAAUGUCUGGGCAACUGCCUGAUGGAGGGUGAUAACUACUGGAAACGGUAGCUAAUACCUCAUAACGUCUCAAGACCAAAGAGGGGUACCUUCGUGCCUCUUGCCAUCGGAUGUGCCCAGAUGGUAUUAGCUAGUAUGUGGGGUAAGGUUUCCCCUAGUCGACGAUCCCUAGGUGGUCUGAGAGUAUGACCAGCCACAUUGGAACUGGACCACGGUCAAGACGCCUACGGGAGGCAGCAGUGGGGAAUAUUGCGCAGUGGGCGCAAGCAUGAUGCAGUCAUGCCGAGUGUAUGAAGAAGGCCUUCGGGUUGUAAAGUACGUUCAGCGGGGAGGAAGGGAGUAAAGUUAAUACCUUUCCUCAUUGACGUUACCGGCAGAAGAAGCACCGGCUAACUACGUG